CAGCCGCCACGGUAAUACGGAGGAUCCAAGCGUUAUCCGGAAUCAUUGGGUUUAAAGGGUCCGUAGGCGGUCUUGUAAGUCAGUGGUGAAAGCCCAUCGCUCAACGGUGGAACGGCCAUUGAUACUGCAGGACUUGAAUUAUUGGGAAGUAACUAGAAUAUGUAGUGUAGCGGUGAAAUGCUUAGAGAUUACAUGGAAUACCAAUUGCGAAGGCAGGUUACUACCAAUUGAUUGACGCUGAUGGACGAAAGCGUGGGUAGCGAACAGGAUUAGAUACCCCCGUAGUCCCUGUCUCUUAUAU
This 301-nucleotide ribosomal RNA is filed under the name uncultured bacterium. Its description in RNAcentral is "partial 16S ribosomal RNA". It matches the Rfam family "Bacterial small subunit ribosomal RNA", at positions 509 to 809 of the family's 1533-position model. The record is from RNAcentral.